This 217-nucleotide ribosomal RNA is filed under the name Campeiostachys nutans. RNAcentral describes it as "Elymus nutans partial small subunit ribosomal RNA". The stretch from base 40 to 217 matches the Rfam family "Eukaryotic small subunit ribosomal RNA", at positions 686 to 864 of the family's 1831-position model. Lineage: Eukaryota; Viridiplantae; Streptophyta; Magnoliopsida; Poales; Poaceae. The record is from RNAcentral.
GGGUUAGUAGGUUGGUCAUGCCUCUGGUAUGCACUGGUCUCACUGAUUCCUCCUUCCUGAUGAGCCGUAAUGCCAUUAAUUUGGUGUUGCGGGGAAUUUGGACAGUUACUUUGAAAAAAUUAGAGUGUUUAAAGCAGGCUUACGCUUGAAUACAUUAGCAUGGAAUAAUGAAAUAGGACGUUUUGAUUCUAUUUUGUUGGUUUCUAGGAUCGACGUA